RNAcentral lists this long non-coding RNA (505 nucleotides) under Helianthus annuus (common sunflower). RNAcentral describes it as "sRNA HanXRQr2_Chr12g0561831". Lineage: Eukaryota; Viridiplantae; Streptophyta; Magnoliopsida; Asterales; Asteraceae. The record is from RNAcentral.
UUUGGUUCAAUUACAUCAAGUUUGUGUUCUAUUUCAUUAGGUUCUUUGUUUUAUGGGUUAUUGACUUAGGAACCAUUGGUUUGGAACAAUCCGUUUGGACCAAUUUUGUGGAGUUUAUAUGUUUCCAGAUUUUGCUAUGCUACUAGGAGGAUUGAAGAAGAACCGAAGCAUGUAACCGUAAAAGAAAUGAAGAACGUAAAGUCAAUUUCUUUCCCUAUUAGAUAUACAUGAAACAUUUAGACCUAAUUUUAUGGAGUUUAUUGGUUCCCCACAUUUACAAUAUCUACCACGGCUCUAUCGCAAGUGCUGGAGCCGGCAACAAGCGUUUUUGAUCUUGUAUAAGCAUCUGCUUUGAAAGAGAAACUUCAAGCCCUUAGAUCAUCAGGUAUUUUAGCAAAACAUCAAGUAAGCAAUUGACGUUGGUGAUGCAAGCGUAUCCAUGUUCCUCACUCUUGUCGCACCAAAUGACACCCACAGCAUCUCGUGUUCGGUUGUAACAAUUGUG